Molecule: long non-coding RNA, 200 nt
Filed under: Vigna radiata
Lineage: Eukaryota; Viridiplantae; Streptophyta; Magnoliopsida; Fabales; Fabaceae
Description: long non-coding RNA (VRAD_LNC013325)
Source: RNAcentral
UCAACCAGGAGUGGGUUAUAUUCGGAUGCUAGGAGUGACCAGAAUACUUAACCAGAAGUGGGUUAAACUUGUUGUAAUCUUUAAAAGAUUAAUUAAAUCUCUUAAGAGUUUUUAAGAAAAAACUGAAUGUAGUUCAAGUUUGAGUGAACCGGUAUACACAUUGUGCCUUAAUGAUUUCUUCUUUUAAAUUAUUCUUACGC